ACGGCUCAGUAACACGUGGCUAACCUGCCCUUGGGACGGGGACACCCCCGGGAAACUGGGGUUAAUCCCCGAUAGGUGGAGAACUCUGGAAUGAGUCUCCGCCCAAAAGGCGUUUACGCUAUGCUCGUAGGCGUUGCCCAAGGAUGGGGCCGCGUCCGAUCAGGUUGUUGGUGAGGUAAUGGCUCACCAAGCCUUUUACCGGUGCGGGCCGUGGGAGCGGGAGCCCGGAGAUGGGCACUGAGACAAGGGCCCAGGCCCUACGGGGCGCAGCAGUCGCGCAAACUUUGCAAUACACGAAAGUGUGACAGGGCUAUCCCGAGUGCCAUCCGCUGAGGAAGGCUUUUACCCAGUUUAGAACGCUGGGAGAAUAAGGAGAGGGCAAGACUGGUGUCAGCCGCCGCGGUAAUACCAGCUCUCCGAGUGGUGUGGAUGUUUAUUGGGCCUAAAGCAUCCGUAGCUGGCUGGGCAAGUCCCCUGUUAAAUCCACCGAUUUAAUCGUUGGUGUGCGGGGGAUACUGCUCGGCUAGGGGACGGGAGAGGCAGACGGUAUUUCCGGGGUAGGGGUGAAAUCCUAUAAUCCCGGGAGGACCACCAGUGGCGAAGGCUGUCUGCUAGAACGCGCCCGACGGUGAGGGAUGAAAGCUGGGGGAGCGAACCGGAUUAGAUACCCGGGUAGUCCCAGCUGUAAACGAUGCAGGCUAGGUGUUUGGACGGCCACGUGCCGUUCUAGUGCCGCAGGGAAGCCGUUAAGCCUGCCGCCUGGGGAGUACGGCCGCAAGGCUGAAACUUAAAGGAAUUGGCGGGGGAGCACCACAAGGGGUGAAGCCUUCGGUUUAAUUGGAUUCAGCGCCGGG
This 854-nucleotide ribosomal RNA is filed under the name uncultured archaeon. RNAcentral describes it as "bacterial SSU rRNA". It matches the Rfam family "Archaeal small subunit ribosomal RNA", at positions 85 to 922 of the family's 1478-position model. The record is from RNAcentral.